This 253-nucleotide ribosomal RNA is filed under the name uncultured bacterium. RNAcentral describes it as "partial 16S ribosomal RNA". It matches the Rfam family "Bacterial small subunit ribosomal RNA", at positions 524 to 776 of the family's 1533-position model. The record is from RNAcentral.
UACGUAGGGGGCUAGCGUUGUCCGGAAUCAUUGGGCGUAAAGAGCGUGUAGGCGGCCCGGUAAGUCCGCUGUGAAAGUCGGGGGCUCAACCCUCGAAUGCCGGUGGAUACUGUCGGGCUAGAGUGCGGAAGAGGCGAGUGGAAUUCCUGGUGUAGCGGUGAAAUGCGCGGAUAUCAGGAGGAACACCAAUUGCGAGGGCAGCUCGCUGGGACGUAACUGACGCUGAGACGCGAAAGCGUGGGGAGCAAACAGG